UUCAUACAGAAGUGCACAAGAUUUUAAUGCAAAGCAACAUUAUAAAGUGUAUUCAUGUCUAGGGGCGUGAUGUAACUUUGUACCAAACAAAAGUUAACACAUAUUCAAAGCACUAAAUAUUGGGGGCCAUAAAUACAGCCUAUCAUUCUCUAAAUGGCAUUAUUUUGUAUCUAUUAGAAACUCGUGAUUUCUCAGUUAUUUUGCUGCGUAGAACAAUGUCCUUAAAAUGUUAGUAAAGUAAAAAACAAAAAAAAACAAAGAAAGGGACUAUCGCCUAAACAUGGUUAUAUCAAAAGGUAAAAAAAUAUAUAUAUAUUUUUUAAAAAAGGUGCUAUCGUAACAUGCUGAUAGUACCAAGGCACUCCUCCUCUUAUCCAGUUCCGGGAAACAUAGAACAUAGAAUGUGACGGCAGAUAAGAACCAUUCGGCCCAUCUAGUCUGCCCAAUUUUCUAAAAACUUUCAUUAGUCCCUAGCCUUAUCUUAUAGUUAGGAUAGCCUUAUGCCUAUCCCAUGC
Molecule: non-coding RNA, 515 nt
Organism: Pelobates cultripes (western spadefoot toad)
Lineage: Eukaryota; Metazoa; Chordata; Amphibia; Anura; Pelobatidae
Source: the annotation of a GenBank genome assembly